GACGAACGCUGGCGGCGUGCUUAAUACAUGCAAGUCGAACGGAAAGGCCCUGCUUUUGUGGGGUUCUCGAGUGGCGAACGGGUGAGUAACACGUGAGUAACCUGCCCUUGACUUUGGGAUAACUUCAGGAAACUGCGGCUAAUAUCGGAUAGGAGCUCCUGCUGCAUGGUGGUGGUUGGUAAGUUUCGGCUGUUGGGGAUGUACUCGCGGGUUAUCAGCUUGUUGGUCGGGUAGUUGCUUACCAAGGUUUCGACGGGUAGCCGGCGUGAGAGGGUGACCGGGGACAUUGGUACUGAGAUAGGGCCCAGAAUCCUACGGGAGGCAGCGGUGGGGAAUAUUGCACAAUGACCGGAAGCCUGAUGCAGCAACGCCGCGUGCGGGAUGACGGCCUUCGGGUUGUAAACAGCUUUCGCAUGUGACGAAGAGUGAGUGACGGUAAUGGGUAAAGAAGCACCGGCUAACUACGUG
Molecule: ribosomal RNA, 468 nt
Filed under: uncultured bacterium
Lineage: Bacteria
Description: partial 16S ribosomal RNA
Rfam family: Bacterial small subunit ribosomal RNA
Source: RNAcentral